GACGAACGCUGGCGGCGUGCUUAACACAUGCAAGUCGAACGGAAAGGCCCUGCUUUUGUGGGGUGCUCGAGUGGCGAACGGGUGAGUAACACGUGAGUAACCUGCCCUUGACUUUGGGAUAACUUCAGGAAACUGGGGCUAAUACCGGAUAGGAGCUCCUGCUGCAUGGUGGGGGUUGGAAAGUUUCGGCGGUUGGGGAUGGACUCGCGGCUUAUCAGCUUGUUGGUGGGGUAGGGGCUUACCAAGGGUUUGACGGGUAGCCGGCCUGAGAGGGUGGCCGGGCACAUGGCUCCUGCGAUACGCACCAGACGCCUACGGGGGGCAGCAGGCGGGAGUAUUGCACAAUGGUCGCACGCCUGAUGCAGCGACGCCGCGUGCGUGAUGACGGCCUUCGGGUUGUAAACCGCUUUCGCCUGUGACGAAGCGUGAGUGACGGUAAUGGGUAAAUAAGCACCGGCUAACUACGUG
This 468-nucleotide ribosomal RNA is filed under the name uncultured bacterium. RNAcentral describes it as "partial 16S ribosomal RNA". It matches the Rfam family "Bacterial small subunit ribosomal RNA", at positions 28 to 507 of the family's 1533-position model. The record is from RNAcentral.